This 439-nucleotide ribosomal RNA is filed under the name uncultured bacterium. RNAcentral describes it as "partial 16S ribosomal RNA". It matches the Rfam family "Bacterial small subunit ribosomal RNA", at positions 339 to 795 of the family's 1533-position model. The record is from RNAcentral.
CUACGGGUUGCACCAGUGGGGAAUCUUAGACAAUGGGCGCAAGCCUGAUCUAGCCAUGCCGCGUGAGCGAUGAAGGCCUUAGGGUUGUAAAGCUCUUUCAGCGAGGAAGAUAAUGACUGUACUCGCAGAAGAAGCCCCGGCUAACUCCGUGCCAGCAGCCGCGGUAAUACGGGGGGGGCUAGCGUUGUUCGGAAUUACUGGGCGUAAAGCGCACGUAGGCGGAUCAGAAAGUCAGAGGUGAAAUCCCAGGGCUCAACCUUGGAACUGCCUUUGAAACUCCUGAUCUUGAGUUCGAGAGAGGUGAGUGGAAUUCCGAGUGUAGAGGUGAAAUUCGUAGAUAUUCGGAGGAACACCAGUGGCGAAGGCGGCUCACUGGCUCGAUACUGACGCUGAGGUGCGAAAGCGUGGGGAGCAAACAGGAUUAGAUACCCCGGUAGUC